Balaenoptera ricei (Rice's whale) is the source of this 3473-nucleotide long non-coding RNA. RefSeq lists it as uncharacterized. The transcript is spliced from 3 exons. Lineage: Eukaryota; Metazoa; Chordata; Mammalia; Artiodactyla; Balaenopteridae. The record is from RefSeq and is a predicted model, not a curated record.
GAGUCGGGCCGGCGGCGGCGGCGGCGGCGGCGGCGGCGGCGGCGGCUCGGAUCGCGGAGAAUGCGCGACCGACCGGGGGCUUGCGAGCGAGACGCGCCGGGCCGCUCAGGGCCCCGCCCCGGGCCCGGAGGCCCCGCCCACGGCCGCGACGCGGGGCAGGAGCUGCGCUGGCCCCUUCCUGACGCACCUGAGCAGUUCCAGUUGCCGCAGGAGGCUGAGCUUCUCUUUCUGCAUGUUCCUCGAGACCGCGACCACGUCUCUGCAGGACGGAGGUGAUGAUUUGGGUGCAGGGAGGCUCCUCGGGGUGCCCCACGACCCCCUGGAGGACCCUGCCCCACGGAGACCCUGGAGGCGGGGCUGGGACAGGGUGGGAUGGAAGCCCUGAGCUCCAAGCGCGACCCUUCUCGGGGUCCGCCCCUGAGUGCCCGCCCCCCCCCAGCCCCCCACCCCCGGCACCGUUGGGUUUGCUCCCGACGGCCCAGCAAGUCGCUCUCCAGUCUGCGGAGCUGCUCUUGCGCCACUUCCAGUUGCGCCCGCAGCGCCUCGUUGGCCAGCCACAGCUGGGCGUUCUGCGCCUGCGCCUCCAGCUGCUCGGUGGUACGGGCCUGCAGCUGCUGUUCCAACUGGGGUGUGGGGGGGAUCGAGGCUGGAGAGAACCCCCCCACGUCCCCGGGAUGCUGCGUUUGCCCCUGACUCCCAACAAUUCCGGGGCUGGGAACAUAGGCCCAAGGGCCUCAAGGACGCCGGGGAGUGCAUGGGGGACGGUGAGGAUGGGGCCUGGGCUGGACCGCUGUGCACGCCUCCCGGCCGGGACCGCCCGGCAGCCGCUCACCUCCCGCUGCCGCAGCCCCGCGCGUUCCAGCUCCUGCUCGCGACUCUGCAGCUCCAGCUCUAGGCGGCCUCUCCGCUCCUCCCGGGGGACGUCCUAGGAUGGGCGGGGACACCUGAGCCCCCGCGGGCGGCGGAGCGGCAGGGGCGCGGGUGGGACCACUUCGGAGAAGGCGGGGCCGGGGAGGCCCGCGCGUCCGGGGUUGGGCUGGGCGCGGGGCGGCGCUGCGGGCCCACCUGACUCCGCAGGCGCUGGCGCUGCUCGCGAAGUUGCUGCUCCAUAUCUUCGUACAGACAUCGCACCUCCCUCUCGUGCUCGCUCUCCCGCCUUCGGGAAACCGGGGGUGAGACAGCUGCUUAGAACCUGCCAACAGUACAGCCCUCGGCCCCGCCUCUACCACCUCGCAGAACCCCUCCACCUGGCCCUCAGGCCGCCCCCAGCCCGCCAGCCCUCACCGCCGCAGCGCCUGCUCCAGGCCCUCCCGCUCUCGGGCCGCUUCCUCCAGGCAGGCCGACGCCCGCAUCAGAACGUCCUCGAAGGAGCCCAGCAGUUCGGGUCGCUCACGCUGCAGCUGGGUCCAGAGCGUCCGAAUUGCCCGCUGCCUGGGGGUGGGGGUGGGGAGGGCAGAGGCUGAAGCUGAAGCGGGGACUCCCCACCCCACCCUGCAGGGUAAGAAGCCCCCAGAGGCCCCCGUAGUCUUGCACAAGCAGGGCAUCCCUCUCCUGGGUGCUUUCACCCUUGCGGGGGUCUGUGCCUGUGCGGGGCUUGUGUGGCCAGGAGGUGUGUGUGCGUGGGGUUGUGUCCUUGUGUACACAGGGCUGUGCCUGUGCUGGGCGCAGCCCUGGCUGCUGCCUCCUGAAAUGCAAAUUCUGUGGGAAAUCACGCCCGGCACGCAGUAGCUGCAGCUGAGAGGGAAGGACCGGCCCAGACCCGGCCUAGGGACCCUGCCUGGGAACAGACACGCAGGCGACGCGGACAGGCAGCAUGCAGGUGGACGUGAGGGUGAUGGGACCCGGGCCAGCACCGACUCACUCGCCCAGGACCCGGGCCACCCCCAGCUGCACCAGUGCAGAGCAGAAUCUCUCCUCCUCCUCCUCCUCCUCCUCCUCGUCCUCCUCCUCCAGGGAGCCCCCGGUGCCUUGCACAUCCGACCAGCCCGCCUCGAAGGUUUCCUCUGGAGCCUGGGAGGGCAGAGCACCCGGGGCAGGCUCCACCCCCACCAAUUUCCCUGCGGGCAUGGGAGGGAGAGAUCACCGCGCUGUGGCUUACCACCCGCAGCCCAGCCCACCCCCGCCCCCCGCGUAUCCUGCCCUUUCUCUGAGCCCAGUUUCCUGUUUUUCUUCCUUAUUUUGGUCCAAUUCUUGUCCUGGGAAUGGGAGGUGACGGCUGGGCUCAGGCCAAAAUGCGGCAUGCCUGGCUCCCAGCCCCACCUGGGUUUGGCUCAGGGAGCAGGUCAUCUCCACAUAUGCCACAGCAUCUGGGGGGCUUCCCGUGGCGCCUGGGUGUACAGACACCGGCCUGUGCUCCGGAGGGAGGCCAGGGAGAAGCACGGGCUGCCACCCAUGUGGGCUGUGGGCCCCAGAGAGUCCCACAUGUCCCAGCGGAGGGCGUCUGAGCAGUGGGGUAGGGGGUGGGGCUCAGGGGCCGGGCUCACCCAGGCCAAGGCAGAACUCCCGAGCGGUGAGGAAGCCGGUGUGCGCCUGGUCCAGACUUUCGAACACAGCCUCCAGCUGUUCGGGCGUGAGGGGCAGGUCGCUCUGCAGGCCCUGGCCGGGCAAGGAUGGCAAGGCUGAGUAGCCAAGGUCAGCCCUGGGGUGGAAGGCCUCUUGGGGCUGGGGGCUCACCUGCAGGUCGUGCCGGGUGAUGAAGCCCUUGGCCUCCUUGUCGCACAGCAGAAACAGCUCCUGGGCCUGCUCCAGUGUCGCUGCCAGUGGCCCUGGGCCGCGCCCCUCAUCCCACCCUUCCUCCUCCUGGGCCUCCCCAGCCCCAGGCUUCCCGGGGCUGGCCAUGGCGGGGGUCUCAGCCUUGGGCGCUGUGAAGCCAAAGAGAAGUCAGGGCCUGAGCAGAACUGAGAAAUGAGGGGAGAGGAGAAGCGGAGGCAGAGAGGUGUGUGCCCCAAGGGGCCCCGGAGUCCCUGACCACGACACGCGGGGAUCGGCGCGCCUUGCGGUGACAGGACGGAGCCAAUGCGGGCGUGCGGACGGGCCGGGCGCCUACCUGCGAGUUUCGCCACCGCACCCGCCACACACUAGGCUGUUCUCCUGCGGGCACCGGGACCCCGGCAGCGCCGGCCCGGGCGGAGCCGCCGCCGUGUCCCCGCCUCUCGGCAUUGCCCCGGUGGCCCAGCGCUCGCCUCAUAGCCCGCCCCCCCCCCCCCCCCCGCGCAUACGGCCCGACCCCCGAGUGUCUGUCCUGGCAGAGUCCGAGCGCAUAGUGGGGGGAUGACCCUGGGGACCCUUCCUGCACAGGGCCAAAGUUGGGGGGCAGUCCUGAGGAUCCCGAUUUAAGGCGUCAAAGUGUGUGCAGGAAAAAGGCAGGAAAUAGACCAAAAUAUUUUCAAUGGUUUUCUCUAGAAGUGGGGUGACUUUCCUUUCUUCCCUGUACUUCUCCAAUUUUUUUUCCAUUUUUAAACAAUAAACGUAUA